RNAcentral lists this long non-coding RNA (1088 nucleotides) under Parus major (Great Tit). RNAcentral describes it as "lncRNA (ENSPMJG00000018833.1)". The record is from RNAcentral. Lineage: Eukaryota; Metazoa; Chordata; Aves; Passeriformes; Paridae.
CCAUUAGCUGUGGGACCCUCCUUUCCAGAAUCAGAUCACUCUGGAAUUCUCCAGGUAUGGGGGUUUUGCACAUUCCAUAGAAGUGCUUUAGCCAGUAUUCUCACAGCAAUCUCACACCUUACAGCUCCAAUGCAUUUGUGCAGCUUUUCUAUCAUGUUUUUAUUAAAAGAUUCAUAAACAUUUCUACAGACUUUGCUGUUUUCAGGGCACUUAGAGUAAGGUUUUGCUGAAACCUCUUUAUUUUAUUUUUAAAUUCUCUCCCAAACACGAGGAGAAUCUUUUCAUCAUGAAGAUCCUUCAUUUUAUGUGUCAGAAGCAGCAGUAUUAUCCUGACUUAUUCAUAUAAUCAAGUGUACAUCAAUUCCUGAAUUGUUGUGCAAAAGUGAACUGUUUCCAUCACACUGGCUGUGGUGUGAGAAUCUUGUAAAAUAAUCUGAAACUAUAGACUGGAGUUUACAAACUAAUUAAACCAAGCAGAUUGAAGAGGGGAAAUAAGAUCCUGAGAGGUGUAUGACUUUCUAAAAGCUGCUCAGUGGGUUAAUGCAGAGCUUGGGCCACCCAAAUCUCCAUCAGUACCAGUGUCAUUCAUCCUCAUUCUCCCCAGGACCAGGUAUUUGCAAGCAGAUUUUUGGGAUAAUACAAGGAGAACUUUUGUACUUCAGCUACAUUGUCAACAGCAAACAAUUCUAAUGUUUCUCUGCAGUGAGAUAAAAUAGGUGGCACUGCUGGGCUCUGUGGUAUGAAGGGUGAUUCCAAACCAAGCAGAGAUGGAGGUGCCAAGCUGUGGCAGGAGGAAGGAGAAAUUGCUUUCCAGUUUCCCUCUGUGUGCUGGCAGAGCUCUGCCAGCUGGCCCAGGGCAGAAAGCAGAGAACCCAGCAGGCCUUCAAACCAAGAUGAUGGCUGCCCAGAGAAGCUGUGGAUGUCCCAGUCCUGGAAGUGUUCAAGGCUGGAUGGGGCUUGGAGCAACCUGGUCUAGUGGAAGAUGUCCCUGCCCAUGGCAGGGGGCUGGAAUGAGAUGAUCUUUAAUGUCUUUUCCAAUCCAAACUGUUCUGUGAUUCUGUGAUCAAAUCCACAGUGAUGAGAGAGGA